This 253-nucleotide ribosomal RNA is filed under the name uncultured bacterium. Its description in RNAcentral is "partial 16S ribosomal RNA". It matches the Rfam family "Bacterial small subunit ribosomal RNA", at positions 524 to 776 of the family's 1533-position model. The record is from RNAcentral.
UACGUAGGGGGCAAGCGUUGUCCGGAUUUAUUGGGCGUAAAGAGCGUGUAGGCGGCCAGGUAAGUCCGCUGUGAAAGUCCAGGGCUCAACCCUGGGAUGCCGGUGGAUACUGUCGGGCUCGAGUCCGGAAGAGGCGAGUGGAAUUCCUGGUGUAGCGGUGAAAUGCGCAGAUAUCAGGAGGAACACCAAUGGCGAAGGCAGCUCGCUGGGACGUGACUGACGCUGAGACGCGAAAGCGUGGGGAGCAAACAGG